CAGCAGCCGCGGGAAUACGUAGGUGGCAAGCGUUGUCCGGAAUUAUUGGGCGUAAGGGGCUCGCAGGCGGUUUCUUAAGUCUGAUGUGAAAGCCCCCGGCUCAACCGGGGAGGGUCAUUGGAAACUGGGAAACUUGAGUGCAGAAGAGGAGAGUGGAAUUCCACGUGUAGCGGUGAAAUGCGUAGAGAUGUGGAGGAACACCAGUGGCGAAGGCGACUCUCUGGUCUGUAACUGCCGCUGAGGAGCGAAAGCGUGGGGAGCGAACAGGAUUAGAUACCCCUGUAGUCCCUGUCUCUUAUAC
RNAcentral lists this ribosomal RNA (301 nucleotides) under uncultured bacterium. RNAcentral describes it as "partial 16S ribosomal RNA". It matches the Rfam family "Bacterial small subunit ribosomal RNA", at positions 509 to 807 of the family's 1533-position model. The record is from RNAcentral.